Long non-coding RNA from Drosophila obscura, 1702 nucleotides. RefSeq lists it as uncharacterized. NCBI's taxonomy places the organism in Eukaryota, Metazoa, Arthropoda, Insecta, Diptera, Drosophilidae. The record is from RefSeq and is a predicted model, not a curated record. The transcript has 3 exons.
UGUUUUCGUCUACAAACAAUCUAGAGAGCAACAGCUGGGGAUCGAUCGCCUUUGAAUUCAAUAGCAAGUAUAUUGCAUUUAAUUAACUAUCUAACUAAGAAAUAAGGCCUGAAUUAACGGCCUUAACUAAAUCCUCGAGCUACUGAACUAUUUGGUUUAAAUAUGUUCUAGCAUAAUAUCCAAAUCGAAGUUCGAGCAAAACACGCACAAGCCUACAUCAGCAUUGCUGAACGUGGCGCACGAAUGCGACUUAGCCUCAAACAACAUCAACGUUUGGCUGAUCUGGCGAAGAUCACGUAGUUGUCCAGGCUAUGCAAGAACGAGGAAGUGUCGUCAAAUUCCAACAUGCACAACGAGCUGAACCCAUCGACGGGUUUAGCUGAUUUCGAUUUAACGUAGGCGAUACGUACAGAUACGUACAAACGUAAAGGCUUGUAUUUUCCGCAGAACAUAAAAUAACACAGGAAGCGACAUGAGUGAAAGGGCUUUGCAGUUGGGACUAAGAAAUCCCUUUUUCAGCAGGCUUCCCAUCCAUAUAUACAGCACAUACGUUAAGGUUGAAAUUUCACAGGAACAAGAUAACGAAUGAACACGCAGCAAUGUGUCAGUAGAUGCUGCCGCGUAAAAUAAAAAGAGAAAAGCUCAUGGUGAAAAAGCCUCUAGCACCGGGAUUGCAGAGGAAGCCAAAUGUGGGAACGUCUCGUACAAAAAUUCUCGAUUUAAAUGAGUAUUGCUGGAGAGUCGUAUUGGAUUAUCUGAGAGUAAAAUACCAGCUAAGGCUCGCUUCUUCGAAGCUGGGGAUUGCAAAGAUUUUCAAGAGAUACGCAAGCCAUCGGUAUUAACAUAUGAAUGAAUCGCAGAACUGAAAGAACUGUUGCAGAUAGUUUGCGAGCAUAUGAUAAGCUAUGAGUCUGACGGAUCGCGUUUCGAAAGUCAAUCAGCAUCUGUGCCUCUUACGGAGCUACUGCUCGAAUCCUCAAAAUUAGAAAAUGAAUAUUGUUCCGGGCGGUGCGGAUUGAUUUUUAUAUAUUAAUACAGCUUUUCAGAAGAAGCCAUUACGGAUAUGGAUUUUGACGAAAUAAACGAUAGGCUGGAUUCCAUACGAUGAAGCUCACCUACAAACAUGCUUUCAUAGAACUCUAAUAAAUGAAAAUUACGACAACUAGACAUAAUUCAUCCUAAUACCCUCACUAAAAAAAAUUUGGAAAUUCUUUUGACAAACUGCCAGUAGCUGGAACGUCUGGUCCUUGAUGUAGAGAUCCUCGAUUCAUCGGCGCCCUAUGAGAUGGUUUGCCAGUUGCCCAAGCUGCAACAUUUGCAGGUGUCUCAUUACGGUUCUGUACACAACUCGUUAAUCGAGAGCUUGAUCAACAAAAAAGGGUCUCAUAAGCUGGGACGAUUUAUUGGAGGCACAGGUUAAGCAUAUUUGCAAGACUUUUACACUCAAGGAAUUCGAAGUAAACUGCCACAGCGUUCCCUCCAACUCCAACAAUACGCAUGACCAAUUUCUGGUCCUCCUGGAGGGACUCCCGAGCUUGAAAAUAAUCAAUGUAUUAUGCAGUUACCGUAAUACAGAUAGUGUGAAAUUAGUCAAUAGUGUUCGUACCUGGGUGAGCGAAUAAUUUAUAAACAUGCUUUUAUGGAACUCUAAUAAAUGAAAAUUCCAAUAAUUUUGUCCAAUAUUUGUAUGUACAUACAUGCA